GUUGUUGUGAGAAUUAAAUAAAUCAGUGCCU
Molecule: non-coding RNA, 31 nt
Filed under: Mus musculus (house mouse)
Lineage: Eukaryota; Metazoa; Chordata; Mammalia; Rodentia; Muridae
Also listed under: 1 other name
Source: RNAcentral